AGCUGAUCAGCAUGCCGCGUGUGUGAAGAAGGCCUUCGGGUUGUAAAGCACUUUUGUCCGGAAAGAAAUCCUUGGCUCUAAUACAGUCGGGGGAUGACGGUACCGGAAGAAUAAGCACCGGCUAACUACGUGCCAGCAGCCGCGGUAAUACGUAGGGUGCGAGCGUUAAUCGGAAUUACUGGGCGUAAAGCGUGCGCAGGCGGUUUGCUAAGACCGAUGUGAAAUCCCCGGGCUCAACCUGGGAACUGCAUUGGUGACUGGCAGGCUAGAGUAUGGCAGAGGGGGGUAGAAUUCCACGUGUAGCAGUGAAAUGCGUAGAGAUGUGGAGGAUACCGAUGGCGAAGGCAGCCCCCUGGGCCAAUACUGACGCUCAUGCACGAAAGCGUGGGGAGCAAACAGGAUUAGAUACCCCCGUA
RNAcentral lists this ribosomal RNA (416 nucleotides) under uncultured bacterium. RNAcentral's name for it is "bacterial SSU rRNA". It matches the Rfam family "Bacterial small subunit ribosomal RNA", at positions 381 to 792 of the family's 1533-position model. The record is from RNAcentral.